GAAGUAGUGCCUAUGCGCUAUUUAGUGGCAAACGGGUGAGUAACACGUAGCUUAGCUGUCCUAAAGUGGGGGAUAGCCGCGGGAAGCCGCGGGUAAUACCGCAUGUGAUCUACGGAUUAAAGCUUAAUGCGCUUUAGGAGGUGGCUGCGGCCCAUCAGGUUGUUGGCGGGGUAAUGGCCCACCAAGCCUAUGACGGGUAUCCGGCCUGAGAGGGUGAUCGGACACAUUGGAACUGAGACACGGUCCAGACUCCUACGGGAGGCAGCAGCUAGGAAUUUUCCGCAAUGGACGAAAGUCUGACGGAGCAACGCCGCGUGAAGGAUGAAGGUCUUUAGGGAUUGUAAACUUCUUUUAUAUGAGACGAGUAAGGACGGUAUCAUAAGAAUAAGUCCCGGCUAACUACGUGCCAGCAGCCGCGGUAAUACGUAGGGGGCUAGCGUUGUUCGGAAUUACUGGGUAUAAAGGGUGCGCAGGCGGAUUUCUAAGCAAGAGGUGAAAUGUCAAGGCUCAACCAUGGCACUGCCUUUUGAACUGGUUAUCUGGAGUACAGAAGGGGAGAGCAGAAUUUCCGGUGUAGGGGUGG
RNAcentral lists this ribosomal RNA (583 nucleotides) under uncultured bacterium. RNAcentral describes it as "bacterial SSU rRNA". It matches the Rfam family "Bacterial small subunit ribosomal RNA", at positions 68 to 684 of the family's 1533-position model. The record is from RNAcentral.